Long non-coding RNA from Etheostoma cragini (Arkansas darter), 1477 nucleotides. RefSeq lists it as uncharacterized. Lineage: Eukaryota; Metazoa; Chordata; Actinopteri; Perciformes; Percidae. The record is from RefSeq and is a predicted model, not a curated record. The transcript has 6 exons.
CGUGAGAUUGCUGUGUAGCCUACGUAGCUUUUAAUGUCUAACGUGAUGUCAGGUGCGUCCAUAAUUUGGACUGAAACGAGACCUCGUAUUUACCUCUUUGUCGACAUUUUCUACAGUCAAACUUUUCUCUAUUCUGAAACUCCAUCAUAUUCGUGUAAUGGUCCGUCUCUUUUUAACCAGUUAGCAGGGAGAAUUAUGGGUCCUGGAAAACAAGAUCCUGUCACCUGGACUGAUCAGCUGCUCAGCCUACAAUUCUGCAGGGCACCAACCUACUGUCUGUCCUGCACUAAAGGCAACAACCACAUGGCUUAAAUCAUUCUCUGCCAAAACACAAGCAACGACAGGUGCAGACCAGAUCUCUAUGCACUGACAAAAUACAGACUCUGCUGUGCCAACACAGAUGCUGACAUCUUUGGAGAUGAUUGAUUUGCCCCGUCUGGCCAGAGAGGAAUGGAGAGGAGAGCUGAGCUAGAGCCUCCCCGGGGCUGCAGCUUCCUGCUGCCCUGCCAUGGCACCACCACAGUGUCACUUCACCAGUGAUGGAGCCCCCAGACCCCCCUGUCUCCCAUCCCUUGUCUCCAGCAAGCUGCUGCAAUCAGCACAGGCCCUGAUUGGAAAUUGGGCAGGACAGAUUGGGAAGCCGUGAUGGCGGCACAGAAGUUGAGGGAGAAGCUAUUUAUCCCAGACGGAUCAGGAGGUGUGUGACAGAGGUGUGGACGGUUGCUGCAGGUCAGUGACGUUGGCAGGCGCCAGGCAGGCCGGCCCACAUGGCUCGGGGACUGUGGGACUACAGACAGAUGGCACCUGGUGGGUGACAAACAAUUAACAAACCAACAAGAAUAGCUGGAUCGGCAGUAUACCCACAAGCACAGGAGAUAGCAAGAGAGCGGGUGCAUCUGUGCUCUGAACACUUUCACUCUUUACUUUUCCUCUUCCCGAGUCUUGUUUUGUAUAACAGUUGCAAUUUACCCAUGUGUCUUCUUCACAAAAACAGUCUUGUUGUCGUGUCGCUAUAGAACAUUCUAAAUAAAGCACUGUUGAACAUAUGCAGCCAGCAUAUGUUUCUGUUUAUUUCAGUGCAGUUUUGAGAGAAGCAGUGGGUGAUUUAAAUGUAUAAUACAAAGAAACAACAUAUUUGAUAUCUACUUAAAUGUUAAGCAAAAGUUAUAAACAAUCAUAACAAGUUGCUUACAGCAAAAGCAGUAUGUGGCAUUGUUGUGCGUGUUUUUUGUAAAUGUCACGCUGGAAAUUGAACGUGUUUGUACUAAAGUGAGCAUGGUGGCCGAUGGCAUAUCACCACCUAACUAUAUCCAAAUGUCAUGGUGAUAGGGUGUUUCUACACUCCACUCCCACUUACUGUUCAACGAAUUUACAACUUUUGUAAUAUCUCUUUCAAGAGCCGGGAGAGAUUAUUAUUGAUACAUACCUAACUGCGUGUAAGUAAACGGCUGUCUUCUAGUAGAAUUAUUGGUUUGGA